This 31-nucleotide non-coding RNA is filed under the name Mus musculus (house mouse). Lineage: Eukaryota; Metazoa; Chordata; Mammalia; Rodentia; Muridae. The record is from RNAcentral.
UGGAAUUGUAGUUAGGAGCCAUUGAUGGGUC